Molecule: ribosomal RNA, 576 nt
Filed under: Ambloplites rupestris
Lineage: Eukaryota; Metazoa; Chordata; Actinopteri; Centrarchiformes; Centrarchidae
Description: partial large subunit ribosomal RNA
Rfam family: Bacterial large subunit ribosomal RNA
Source: RNAcentral
CGCCUCUUGCUGAACAUAAAAAUAAGAGGUCCCGCCUGCCCUGUGACUGUAAGUUUAACGGCCGCGGUAUUUUGACCGUGCGAAGGUAGCGCAAUCACUUGUCUUUUAAAUGAAGACCUGUAUGAAUGGCAUAACGAGGGCUUAACUGUCUCCUUUUUCCAGUCAAUGAAAUUGAUCUCCCCGUGCAGAAGCGGGGAUAAAACCAUAAGACGAGAAGACCCUAUGGAGCUUUAGACACUAAGGUAAGUCAUGUUAAACACCCCUAAAUAAAGGGCCAAACCAAAUGAAAAUUACCCCGAUGUCUUUGGUUGGGGCGACCGCGGGGAAAUACAAAACCCCCAUGUGGAACGGGAACACUUCCUCCUACAACUAAGAGCCCCCGCUCUAGUUAACAGAACUUCUGACCAACAAGAUCCGGCUAGCGCCGAUCAACGGACCGAGUUACCCUAGGGAUAACAGCGCAAUCCCCUUUUAGAGCCCAUAUCGACAAGGGGGUUUACGACCUCGAUGUUGGAUCAGGGCAUCCUAAUGGUGCAGCCGCUAUUAAGGGUUCGUUUGUUCAACGAUUAAAGUCCU